UUGUUCGAUAAUUCUUUUCCUUGGUUAAAUCUUGCUGAGCAGCGUGUUGCGUCUAUUGCCACUGUGAAGCUGAGGAAGCAUCUUGAGAUCAGCAUGAAAAAUGACAGUUUAGGCCAGCUUUCACGCACGUGUCACCUCCCACCAGCAACAGAUAUCAAGUUACUCUGUCCCCCAAGGUUAGGGCAGAUGGGAAGAAUUACCUAGUGUUUUUUUGUCUAUGUUGAGAUUUGAAUUUGAGAACUUCUGGUUCUCAACCCACUUCAUUGACCACUAGGCCACACCCUUGGGUGUAUAUCUGGACUACAAUCUAGACUAAACCUCCGAGUAGACUCUGCAGUAUCAACAACCAUCGGCACGGUCAUUCAAGAAUCAUGUGGCGCGACGAAAGGUGUUUCCCUUACUUCUGGAACAGGGGGAAUUCCAUGUUAUUAAGGUGUCAAGGCGCUCACUUUGAUCAUUCAAUUGACUCUUUUCUGCCAGUCCGUGCUUGAUGUCAUGCUGGCAAGAGCAGUGAAGUCGGUCGGUUAAACCUAAUAUUGGAUUUUUCCAGAUCAAUUCUUUGCUGCAAUCACUUUGAUCCACCUAAAUUCUUUAGGUUUUCUUUGAGUAAUUGGCUUGCUUGAUAUCUAUGAAGGAUGAUUUGCUGCAGAUGGAGCAUACAACUCUAAUGGAACCCAAAGGUACAUGUGAAUAAAAGUUAUUUAAUGGAACACACAAAAGAACAUAUUGUUUUGACGAGGCUCGACGAUUAUUUGGGAAGUGAAAAGUUUCAAAGAUCUCUGCUCAAGUCGAGAACGGCAAACUAUUGAAGUUUUGAGUGGUACUUGUUCUCAUGUUGGAUGGUACAUCAAUCAAGACUAUGGAUGUGAUAACUUGUAUUGUUGGCUUUUGGUUUUGGAUAAUUAGGCUCGCACGACUGUAAAAUGUAUCACAAGGGUCUAAGGCUUGCUUCUUUGUAUACUAAGAAUCAACGUCUCUUAUGUGUUUUGUUUUAUUGAUGUGACAAUGGCUUUCUUGUUUUA
This is a long non-coding RNA of Capsicum annuum, 1022 nucleotides long. RefSeq lists it as uncharacterized. NCBI's taxonomy places the organism in Eukaryota, Viridiplantae, Streptophyta, Magnoliopsida, Solanales, Solanaceae. The record is from RefSeq and is a predicted model, not a curated record. The transcript has 3 exons.